This 253-nucleotide ribosomal RNA is filed under the name uncultured bacterium. RNAcentral's name for it is "partial 16S ribosomal RNA". It matches the Rfam family "Bacterial small subunit ribosomal RNA", at positions 524 to 776 of the family's 1533-position model. The record is from RNAcentral.
UACGGGGGGGGCAAGCGUUGUUCGGAAUUACUGGGCGUAAAGGGCUCGUAGGCGGCCAACUAAGUCGGAUGUGAAAUCCCCAGGCUCAACUUGGGAACUGCAUCCGAUACUGGAUGGCUUGAAUCCGGGAGAGGGAUGCAGAAUUCCAGGUGUAGCGGUGAAAUGCGUAGAUAUCGAGAGGAACACCAGUGGCGAAGGCGAGUCUCUGGACGACUCCUGACACUGAGGCACGAAAGCUAGGGGAGCAAACAGG